Molecule: transfer RNA, 73 nt
Filed under: Felis catus (domestic cat)
Lineage: Eukaryota; Metazoa; Chordata; Mammalia; Carnivora; Felidae
Also listed under: 1 other name
Rfam family: tRNA
About the family: Transfer RNA (tRNA) molecules are approximately 80 nucleotides in length. Their secondary structure includes four short double-helical elements and three loops (D, anti-codon, and T loops).
Source: Rfam by way of RNAcentral
GCCUGGCUGGUUCAGUUGGUAGAGCAUGUGACUCCUGAUCUUGGGGUCAUGAAUUCAAGCCCCAUGUUGGGCG